AUUGAACGCUGGCGGCAGGCUUAACACAUGCAAGUCGAGCGGAGUGAUGGUGCUUGCACUAUCACUUAGCGGCGGACGGGUGAGUAAUGCUUAGGAAUCUGCCUAUUAGUGGGGGACAACAUCUCGAAAGGGAUGCUAAUACCGCAUACGUCCUACGGGAGAAAGCAGGGGAUCACUUGUGACCUUGCGCUAAUAGAUGAGCCUAAGUCGGAUUAGCUAGUUGGUGGGGUAAAGGCCUACCAAGGCGACGAUCUGUAGCGGGUCUGAGAGGAUGAUCCGCCACAAUGGGACUGAGACACGGCCCAGACUCCUACGGGAGGCAGCAGUGGGGAAUAUUGGACAAUGGGGGGAACCCUGAUCCAGCCAUGCCGCGUGUGUGAAGAAGGCCUUAUGGUUGUAAAGCACUUUAAGCGAGGAGGAGGCUCUUUUGGUUAAUACCCAAGAUGAGUGGACGUUACUCGCAGAAUAAGUACCGGCUAACUCUGUGCCAGCCGCCGCGGUAA
This 503-nucleotide ribosomal RNA is filed under the name uncultured bacterium. Its description in RNAcentral is "partial 16S ribosomal RNA". It matches the Rfam family "Bacterial small subunit ribosomal RNA", at positions 30 to 523 of the family's 1533-position model. The record is from RNAcentral.